This 230-nucleotide ribosomal RNA is filed under the name uncultured bacterium. Its description in RNAcentral is "partial 16S ribosomal RNA". It matches the Rfam family "Bacterial small subunit ribosomal RNA", at positions 524 to 753 of the family's 1533-position model. The record is from RNAcentral.
UACAGAGGGUGCGAGCGUUAAUCGGAAUUACUGGGCGUAAAGGGUGCGUAGGUGGACUGUUAAGUCAGAUGUGAAAUCCCCGGGCUUAACCUGGGAAUGGCAUUUGUAACUGGCAGUCUAGAGUGCAGAAGAGAGAAGUGGAAUUCCCGGUGUAGUGGUGAAAUGCGUAGAUAUCGGGAGGAACACCAGUGGCGAAGGCGACUACCUGGCCUGUUCUUGACGCUGAGGCG